Molecule: ribosomal RNA, 253 nt
Filed under: uncultured bacterium
Lineage: Bacteria
Description: partial 16S ribosomal RNA
Rfam family: Bacterial small subunit ribosomal RNA
Source: RNAcentral
UACAGAGGUCUCAAGCGUUGUUCGGAUUCAUUGGGCGUAAAGCGCACGUAGGCGGUCUUGUAAGUCAGGAGUGAAAGCCCUCGGCUUAACCGGGGAAGUGCUUUUGAAACUGCAAGACUUGAAUACUGGAGAGGAUCGCGGAAUUCCCGGUGUAGAGGUGAAAUUCGUAGAUAUCGGGAGGAACACCAGUGGCGAAGGCGGCGAUCUGGACAGAUAUUGACGCUGAGGUGCGAAAGCGUGGGGAGCAAACAGG